Non-coding RNA from Mycena epipterygia, 99 nucleotides. The record is from the annotation of a GenBank genome assembly. Lineage: Eukaryota; Fungi; Basidiomycota; Agaricomycetes; Agaricales; Mycenaceae.
GGCCUGAUGGUGUAAUGGUUAACAUACCUGCUUGAAUUGACUCUGCGCUUCAGAUAACUUUACAGCGGGAGAUUCCUUGUUCGAAUCAAGGUCGGGCCA